Molecule: non-coding RNA, 1015 nt
Organism: Ceratotherium simum simum (southern white rhinoceros)
Lineage: Eukaryota; Metazoa; Chordata; Mammalia; Perissodactyla; Rhinocerotidae
Source: RefSeq, a predicted model, not a curated record
AAUCAACUGCAUGCAACUUCAUUAUCAUAGGCAAGGAAACAGACCAGAAGAGAGAGACUGCCCAUGUGUAUCUUUACAUGAAGUAUUUAUUAUGAACACAACUGAUGUUCACCUAGUAAACACCAAUAAAAUCUGAAGUCAUUGUUAAAGAAAUUUAAAACAAACAGCACUAUACUAAUAUUAUAAGCAAACAUGGUUAGAAUAAUUUUACUUUUUCCAUCUAUGCUUCCCCCCAAAUUAUGCUGUUUUUCAAUUUCAGUAAUAGCCAAACUCCCAAAAUCAUAGAUGUUUAAAGAGCUCAUAAAAUAAUGUAUGCUCUUAUUUCCCAACCAGUCAAUUAGCAAAUUAUGGCAUAACACCAUAAUUUAAUUAAUUUAGGUCUAAGUUAUCCCACUGCUUGGGGCUUUCUGGUCAAAUUCUUAAGUUUCACAUUGUAUACCAAAGGAAGAUGACUAAAGACAAUGUAAAUGGAUUCAUGGUUGUCACAUAGUACAUAUUCCAGUUUAAUCUUUGCCAAACCGCCCUGAAAUAAAAUUCUUUCUUGUUCAAUUUAGGUUUGUUUUUUUUUUUUAUUUUAUCCUAGCCCUUUAAGCUCCUAGGAAUUUUAGAUGUUGAAAACAUUCCCUGUGCACGGGACUCAAUACUCUAUGGUUCUUUAGGAUCUGUUGUGGCUGGCUUUGGACAUUUUUUGUUAACUAGCAGAAUUAGAAGAUCAUGUGAUGUUGGAGUAGGAGGAUUUAUCUUGGUGACUUUAGGAUGCUGGUUCCAUUGUAGGUAUAAUUAUGCAAAGCUAAGAAUCCAGGAAAGAAUUGCCAGAGAAGGAAUUAAAAAUAAGAUUUUAUAUGAAAGUACCCACCUUGAUCCUGAAAGAAAACAAACCAAUGGCAACAGCAGCAACUGAGCCGAGUCUUGCGCACAGAAAACCCAAAGACAACUCACUGUAGUGUGAACAAAGCUGAGACCAGCCGGUAAAUCGUUGUCUGUACCACAAGGCUUUCAAUCAAGUCAAUAAAGU